RNAcentral lists this ribosomal RNA (492 nucleotides) under uncultured bacterium. Its description in RNAcentral is "partial 16S ribosomal RNA". It matches the Rfam family "Bacterial small subunit ribosomal RNA", at positions 29 to 507 of the family's 1533-position model. The record is from RNAcentral.
AGUGAACGCUGGCGGUAGGCCUAACACAUGCAAGUCGAACGGCAGCACAGUAAGAGCUUGCUCUUACGGGUGGCGAGUGGCGGACGGGUAAGGAAUACAUCGGAAUCUACUUUUUCGUGGGGGAUAACGUAGGGAAACUUACGCUAAUACCGCAUACGACCUACGGGUGAAAGCAGGGGAUCUUCGGACCUUGCGCGAUUGGAUGAGCCGAUGUCGGAUUAGCUAGUUGGCGGGGUAAAGGCCCACCAAGGCGACGAUCCGUAGCUGGUCUGAGAGGAUGAUCAGCCACACUGGAACUGAGACACGGUCCAGACUCCUACGGGAGGCAGCAGUGGGGAAUAUUGGACAAUGGGCGCAAGCCUGAUCCAGCCAUACCGCGUGGGUGAAGAAGGCCUUCGGGUUGUAAAGCCCUUUUGUUGGGAAAGAAAAGCAGCAGGUUAAUACCCCGCUGUUCUGACGGUACCCAAAGAAUAAGCACCGGCUAACUUCGUG